CAGAGGGUGCAAGCGUUGUUCGGAAUUACUGGGCGUAAAGCGCGCGCAGGCGGUCCUUUAAGUCUACCCGUGAAAUGCCGGAGCUCAACUCCGCGCACGCCGGGGGAUACUGGAGGACUGGAGACGAGUAGAGGCAAGCGGAAUUCCGGGUGUAGCGGUGGAAUGCGUAGAGAUCCGGAAGAACACCGGAGGCGAAGGCGGCUUGCUGGGCUUGGUCUGACGCUGAGGCGCGAAAGCGUGGGGAGCGAACAGGAUUAGAUACCCUGGUAGUCCACGCCGUAAACGAUGGGCACUAGACGCGGGUGGGAUCGACCCCUUCCGUGUCGCAGCUAACGCGCUAAGUGCCCCGCCUGGGGAGUACGGCCGCAAGGCUG
This 374-nucleotide ribosomal RNA is filed under the name uncultured organism. Its description in RNAcentral is "bacterial SSU rRNA". It matches the Rfam family "Bacterial small subunit ribosomal RNA", at positions 526 to 896 of the family's 1533-position model. The record is from RNAcentral.